AUGGGGUGCAGCAGGCGCGAAACCUCCGCAAUGCGGGAAACCGUGACGGGGCCACCCCGAGUGCCACCCGNNGAGGGUGGCUUUUCCCCGGUCUAAACAGCCGGGGGAAUAAGGGGAGGGCAAGCCUGGUGUCAGCCGCCGCGGUAAUACCAGCUCCCCGAGUGGUGGGGNNGNUUAUUGGGCCUAAAGCGCCCGUAGCCGGCCCAGUAAGUCCCUCGUUAAACCCGGCGNUNUANCCGUCGGACUGCGGGGGAUACUGCUGGGCUUGGGGGUGGGAGAGGCCGGCGGUACUCCCGGGGUAGGGGUGAAAUCCUAUAAUCCCGGGAGGACCACCAGUGGCGAAGGCGGCCGGCCAGAACACGCCCGACGGUGAGGGGCGAAAGCUGGGGGAGCGAACCGGAUUAGAUACCCGGGUAGUCCCAGCUGUAAACGAUGCGGGCUAGGUGUCGGAACGGCCUUAGANNNGUUCCGGUGCCGCAGGGAAGCCGUUAAGCCCGCCGCCUGGGGAGUACGGCCGCAAGGCUGAAANNUAAAGNANNNNNGGGGGAGCAC
Molecule: ribosomal RNA, 552 nt
Filed under: uncultured crenarchaeote
Lineage: Archaea; Thermoproteati; Thermoproteota
Description: 16S ribosomal RNA
Rfam family: Archaeal small subunit ribosomal RNA
Source: RNAcentral